UCACCCUUCAAGCCUCCGGCUUGGUGUUAGACGGCUUGGUUUUGGUGAUAAGACCCCUCUUAAAAUUAAUAACGGCGGCCUGUGCGACCUCCGGUACACUGAGCUUCUUAACUGAGUACGUAUCGGUCUUAGGGUAGAUAGGACUCGGUCUUUCUUCCUUAACCGGAAAAUUUUUCUAUAA
Molecule: unclassified non-coding RNA, 181 nt
Filed under: uncultured Herpotrichiellaceae
Lineage: Eukaryota; Fungi; Ascomycota; Eurotiomycetes; Chaetothyriales; Herpotrichiellaceae
Description: sequence contains ITS2
Source: RNAcentral